RNAcentral lists this ribosomal RNA (395 nucleotides) under uncultured bacterium. RNAcentral describes it as "partial 16S ribosomal RNA". It matches the Rfam family "Bacterial small subunit ribosomal RNA", at positions 523 to 918 of the family's 1533-position model. The record is from RNAcentral.
AUACGUAGGGUGCAAGCGUUAAUCGGAAUUACUGGGCGUAAAGCGUGCGCAGGCGGUUUUGUAAGACAGUGGUGAAAUCCCCGGGCUCAACCUGGGAACUGCCAUUGUGACCGCAAGGCUGGAGUGCGGCAGAGGGGGAUGGAAUUCCGCGUGUAGCAGUGAAAUGCGUAGAUAUGCGGAGGAACACCGAUGGCGAAGGCAAUCCCCUGGGCCUGCACUGACGCUCAUGCACGAAAGCGUGGGGAGCAAACAGGAUUAGAUACCCUGGUAGUCCACGCCCUAAACGAUGUCAACUGGUUGUUGGGGAUUUAUUUUCUCAGUAACGAAGCUAACGCGUGAAGUUGACCGCCUGGGGAGUACGGCCGCAAGGUUAAAACUCAAAGGAAUUGACGGGG